RNAcentral lists this ribosomal RNA (406 nucleotides) under uncultured bacterium. Its description in RNAcentral is "partial 16S ribosomal RNA". It matches the Rfam family "Bacterial small subunit ribosomal RNA", at positions 30 to 526 of the family's 1533-position model. The record is from RNAcentral.
AUUGAACGCUGGCGGCAGGCCUAACACAUGCAAGUCGAACGAGUGGCGGACGGGUGAGUAAUGUCUGGGAAACUGCCUGAUGGAGGGGGAUAACUACUGGAAACGGUAGCUAAUACCGCAUACCAUCGGAUGUGCCCAGAUGGGAUUAGCUAGUAGGUGGGGUAAAGGCUCACCUAGGCGACGAUCCCUAGCUGGUCUGAGAGGAUGACCAGGCUCACUGGAACUGGGACGCGGUGCAGACUCCGACGGGAGGCAGCAGUGGGGAAUAUUGCACAAUGGGCGCAAGCCUGAUGCAGCCAUGCCGCGUGGAUGAAUAAGGCCUUCGGGUUGGAAAGUACUUUCAGCGGGGAGGCGUUACCCUCAGGAGAAGCACCGGCUAACUCCGUGCCAGCAGCCGCGGUAAUUC